UACGUAGGGUGCAGGCGUUAAUCGGAAUUACUGGGCGUAAAGCGUGCGCAGGCGGUUUGCUAAGACAGGUGUGAAAUCCCCGGGCUUAACCUGGGAACUGCGCUUGUUACUGGCAGGCUUGAGUGUGGCAGAGGGGGGUGGAAUUCCGCGUGUAGUGGUGAAAUGCGUAGAUAUGCGGAGGAACACCAGUGGCGAAGGCGGCCACCUGGACCGUCCCUGACGCUCAAACACGAAAGCUAGGGUAGCGAACGGG
RNAcentral lists this ribosomal RNA (253 nucleotides) under uncultured bacterium. RNAcentral's name for it is "partial 16S ribosomal RNA". It matches the Rfam family "Bacterial small subunit ribosomal RNA", at positions 524 to 776 of the family's 1533-position model. The record is from RNAcentral.